GAAUACAACACUUACUGUUCUGUCAGGUCUCUGCAACAUGAUUCUUGCACUGAGAUGGAUAUAUUUAAGAGAGCAAAUAAGCAAACCCUCCUCCAAAGAGAAGUGAACAGGGGUUCCACAGCCCCAAGACCUGCAGCUGGACAUUCUUGCUUGCUGGGCUCAGCAUCGCUAUGGGCGUGAGCACCUUCUUCUCUUCCAACUGGGAGUUCUGGCUGUGUCCGACUGGAACCAACUCCUUGGCUCUUGUGAACUGAUGAUACACAGAGCUUGAAAAAUCUAAAACACCUUGUGAGUAGACACGCCAAUGUUAUGUUGAAAC
This is a long non-coding RNA of Zonotrichia leucophrys gambelii, 319 nucleotides long. RefSeq lists it as uncharacterized. The record is from RefSeq and is a predicted model, not a curated record. The transcript is spliced from 3 exons. Lineage: Eukaryota; Metazoa; Chordata; Aves; Passeriformes; Passerellidae.